RNAcentral lists this ribosomal RNA (1386 nucleotides) under metagenome. RNAcentral's name for it is "bacterial LSU rRNA". It matches the Rfam family "Bacterial large subunit ribosomal RNA", at positions 1559 to 2925 of the family's 2925-position model. The record is from RNAcentral.
GCUGAUGACGAGUUAUCUUUUAGAUGACGAGGUGGUCGAUGCCAUGCUUCCAGGAAAAGCUUCUAAGCUUCAGGUAACUAGGAACCGUACCCCAAACCGACACAGGUGGUUGGGUAGAGAAUACCAAGGCGCUUGAGAGAACUCGGGUGAAGGAACUAGGCAAAAUGGCACCGUAACUUCGGGAGAAGGUGCGCCGGUGAGGGUGAAGUAUUUACUACGUAAGCCCAUGCCGGUCGAAGAUACCAGGCCGCUGCGACUGUUUAUUAAAAACACAGCACUCUGCAAACACGAAAGUGGACGUAUAGGGUGUGACGCCUCCCCGGUGCCGGAAGGUUAAUUGAUGGGGUUAGCUAACGCGAAGCUCUUGAUCGAAGCCCCGGUAAACGGCGGCCGUAACUAUAACGGUCCUAAGGUAGCGAAAUUCCUUGUCGGGUAAGUUCCGACCUGCACGAAUGGCGUAACGAUGGCGGCGCUGUCUCCACCCGAGACUCAGUGAAAUUGAAAUCGCUGUGAAGAUGCAGUGUAUCCGCGGCUAGACGGAAAGACCCCGUGAACCUUUACUAUAGCUUUGCACUGGACUUUGAAUUUGCUUGUGUAGGAUAGGUGGGAGGCUUUGAAGCGUGGACGCUAGUCUGCGUGGAGCCAAUCUUGAAAUACCACCCUGGCAACUUUGAGGUUCUAACUCUGGUCCGUUAUCCGGAUCGAGGACAGUGUAUGGUGGGUAGUUUGACUGGGGCGGUCUCCUCCUAAAGAGUAACGGAGGAGUACGAAGGUGCGCUCAGACCGGUCGGAAAUCGGUCGUAGAGUAUAAAGGCAAAAGCGCGCUUGACUGCGAGACAGACACGUCGAGCAGGUACGAAAGUAGGUCUUAGUGAUCCGGUGGUUCUGUAUGGAAGGGCCAUCGCUCAACGGAUAAAAGGUACUCCGGGGAUAACAGGCUGAUACCGCCCAAGAGUUCAUAUCGACGGCGGUGUUUGGCACCUCGAUGUCGGCUCAUCACAUCCUGGGGCUGAAGCCGGUCCCAAGGGUAUGGCUGUUCGCCAUUUAAAGUGGUACGCGAGCUGGGUUUAGAACGUCGUGAGACAGUUCGGUCCCUAUCUGCCGUGGACGUUUGAGAUUUGAGAGGGGCUGCUCCUAGUACGAGAGGACCGGAGUGGACGAACCUCUGGUGUUCCGGUUGUCACGCCAGUGGCAUUGCCGGGUAGCUAUGUUCGGGAAAGAUAACCGCUGAAAGCAUCUAAGCGGGAAACUUGCCUCGAGAUGAGAUCCCACUGGAACCUUGAGUUCCCUAAAGGGCCGUCGAAGACUACGACGUUGAUAGGUUGGGUGUGUAAGCGCUGUGAGGCGUUGAGCUAACCAAUACUAAUUGCCCGUGAGGCUUGACCG